GGGCCUUCCUAGAAGAACUUAUG
This 23-nucleotide non-coding RNA is filed under the name Arabidopsis thaliana (thale cress). The record is from RNAcentral. Lineage: Eukaryota; Viridiplantae; Streptophyta; Magnoliopsida; Brassicales; Brassicaceae.